UACGUAGGCAGCAAGCGUUGUUCGGAAUUACUGGGCGUAAAGAGUGUGUAGGCGGUGCUCUAAGUUUGGUGUGAAAUCUCCCGGCUCAACUGGGAGGGUGCGCCGAAAACUGGAAUGCUUGAACGUGGGAGAGGAAAGCGGAAUUCCUGGUGUAGCGGUGAAAUGCGUAGAUAUCAGGAGGAACACCUGCGGUGUAGACGGCUUUCUGGACCAUAGCUGACGCUGAGACACGAAAGCGUGGGUAGCAAACAGG
Molecule: ribosomal RNA, 253 nt
Filed under: uncultured bacterium
Lineage: Bacteria
Description: partial 16S ribosomal RNA
Rfam family: Bacterial small subunit ribosomal RNA
Source: RNAcentral